GACGUAGGGGGCCAGCGUUGUUCGGAAUUACUGGGUGUAAAGGGUUCGUAGGCGGUGUGGCAAGUCAGGAGUGAAAUCUCUGGGCUCAACUCAGAGACUGCUUCCGAAACUGCUGUGCUGGAGUGUGGGAGAGGCGCGUGGAAUUGCAGGUGUAGCGGUGAAAUGCGUAGAUAUCUGCAGGAACACCCGUGGCGAAAGCGGCGCGCUGGACCACUACUGACGCUGAGGAACGAAAGCUAGGGGAGCAAACAGG
RNAcentral lists this ribosomal RNA (253 nucleotides) under uncultured bacterium. RNAcentral's name for it is "partial 16S ribosomal RNA". It matches the Rfam family "Bacterial small subunit ribosomal RNA", at positions 524 to 776 of the family's 1533-position model. The record is from RNAcentral.